UGCAGUCGACGCUGAAGCCUGGUGCUUGCACCGGGUGGAUGAGUGGCGAACGGGUGAGUAACACGUGAGUAACCUGCCCCUGACUUCGGGAUAAGCCCGGGAAACUGGGUCUAAUACCGGAUACGACUGCCGGACGCAUGUCUGGUGGUGGAAAGUUUUUUCGGUUGGGGAUGGGCUCGCGGCCUAUCAGUUUGUUGGUGAGGUAAUGGCUCACCAAGACGACGACGGGUAGCCGGCCUGAGAGGGCGACCGGCCACACUGGGACUGAGACACGGCCCAGACUCCUACGGGAGGCAGCAGUGGGGAAUAUUGCACAAUGGGGGAAACCCUGAUGCAGCGACGCAGCGUGCGGGAUGACGGCCUUCGGGUUGUAAACCGCUUUCAGCAGGGAAGAAGCGCAAGUGACGGUACCUGCAGAAGAAGUACCGGCUAACUACGUGCCAGCAGCCGCGGUAAUACGUAGGGUACGAGCGUUGUCCGGAAUUAUUGGGCGUAAAGAGCUCGUAGGUGGUUGGUCACGUCUGCUGUGGAAACGCAACGCUUAACGUUGCGCGUGCAGUGGGUACGGGCUGACUAGAGUGCAGUAGGGGAGUCUGGAAUUCCUGGUGUAGCGGUGAAAUGCGCAGAUAUCAGGAGGAACACCGGUGGCGAAGGCGGGACUCUGGGCUGUAACUGACACUGAGGAGCGAAAGCAUGGGGAGCGAACAGGAUUAGAUACCCUGGUAGUCCAUGCCGUAAACGUUGGGCACUAGGUGUGGGGGGCAUUCCACGUUCUCCGCGCCGUAGCUAACGCAUUAAGUGCCCCGCCUGGGGAGUACGGUCGCAAGGCUAAAACUCAAAGGAAUUGACGGGGGCCCGCACAAGCGGCGGAGCAUGCGGAUUAAUUCGAUGCAACGCGAAGAACCUUACCAAGGCUUGACAUACACCGGACCGUCCUGGAAACAGGUCUUCUUCUUUGAAGCUGGUGUACAGGUGGUGCAUGGUUGUCGUCAGCUCGUGUCGUGAGAUGUUGGGUUAAGUCCCGCAACGAGCGCAACCCUCGUUCUAUGUUGCCAGCAUGUGAUGGUGGGAACUCAUAGGAGACUGCCGGGGUCAACUCGGAGGAAGGUGGGGAUGACGUCAAAUCAUCAUGCCCUUUAUGUCUUGGGCUUCACGCAUGCUACAAUGGCUGGUACAGAGAGAGGCGAACCCGUGAGGGCAAGCGAAUCCCUUAAAGCCAGUCUCAGUUCGGAUCGUAGUCUGCAAUUCGACUACGUGAAGUCGGAGUCGCUAGUAAUCGCAGAUCAGCAACGCUGCGGUGAAUACGUUCCCGGGCCUUGUACACACCGCCCGUCAAGUCACGAAAGUCGGUAACACCCGAAGCCGGUGGCCUAACCGUAAGGA
This 1383-nucleotide ribosomal RNA is filed under the name Brevibacterium casei. Its description in RNAcentral is "bacterial SSU rRNA". It matches the Rfam family "Bacterial small subunit ribosomal RNA". The record is from RNAcentral. Lineage: Bacteria; Bacillati; Actinomycetota; Actinomycetes; Micrococcales; Brevibacteriaceae.